CUCGGGGGGAGCAAGCGUGGUUCGGAAUCACUGGGCGUAAAGGGCGUGUAGGCGGUCAGGUAAGUGGGAUGUGAAAUGCCUCGGCUCACCCGAGGCACUGCAUUCCAAACUGCUUGGCUUGAGUAUGGGAGAGGAUGAGGGAAUUCCUGGUGUAGCGGUGAAAUGCGUAGAUAUCAGGAGGAACACCGGUGGCGAAGGCGCUCAUCUGGCCCAAUACUGACGCUGAGGCGCGAAAGCUAGGGGAGCAAACGGG
RNAcentral lists this ribosomal RNA (253 nucleotides) under uncultured bacterium. Its description in RNAcentral is "partial 16S ribosomal RNA". It matches the Rfam family "Bacterial small subunit ribosomal RNA", at positions 524 to 776 of the family's 1533-position model. The record is from RNAcentral.